This is a long non-coding RNA of Myotis daubentonii (Daubenton's bat), 1381 nucleotides long. RefSeq lists it as uncharacterized. The record is from RefSeq and is a predicted model, not a curated record. NCBI's taxonomy places the organism in Eukaryota, Metazoa, Chordata, Mammalia, Chiroptera, Vespertilionidae.
CCGCCGAUUCCGCAGAACGCUCCCGCCCCUCCUUGCCUCCCUCUAGCGGCAGCGCGAAGAGCGUUUACACUGCAGCUUGACAAAUGCUGAUGCCACCACUGCUGAAACUCCACUCCUCAAAUGUAAAUAUUUGCUGAAGGUUAAUCUUGCUUUACCAGGACAAAAGGAAAUUUAUCUCCAUCUCAGAACUGACAGGACAGAGGAACCUUCCAGCAAGCCUCACACCUGCCUUCAGAAGGAGCAAGCACAUCAUGAUGCUGAGCUCCCCUCUGACCACAGACACAGCUCUAAAGACACAGCUCUAAAGACACACCCACCUACCUGCUGAAGGGGGUGAGACCAGGGCAAGGAGCAACUUCUCCUAAAAUAAGCACUCACUCUCUGUCUUACCCAUAAGCAGCUCCAUAAGUACUGAUAGAAUCGUCUGCUUUAUAUUUCUCCUAGCCUCCUAGUUCCCUAGACUCUGGCCCUCUAGACCAGCAUAACCUGUUUUAGCUUCUCUCUCACCUGGGUUCCCUGGGCUUGACUUCUGGCCUCCUGGACCUCUGGGCAUUGCCUUGGAGCGCAGGCUGGGGUUCUGAAGCUCAGCGUUUGCUCACACACCCUCGCCAUCUGCAGACUGCCCCUGUCUGGCCCGAUGAGGUUCUGCAUCCUGGCCAUUUGCCCAAGCCUUGGCACACAGUGGUCACAGUUUAAGGAAUCAGUUUGGAACCUGCCUGCCAGCUCCUGCCUUCCUCAGCCCCUCCCAGCUGGAGCCAUGAGAUGCCAUCCUCCAGGCAACCUUGAGUGAGCAGUGCGUCUCCCAGUUCAAUGGGCAAACAACCCCACUGGGGAUCAGGCCAACAUGGAUAUUCUGAUUCAUUAGGUCUGAGGUGGGAUCAGAUAUCUGUGUUUCCAUGUGAUGUGAAUAGCUCAUGAACUUCACUUUGAGGAGUAAGAAUGAGAAUGUAUAGACUAGCAACCUCAUCCUCACCUGGGGAUAGGUCUGGAAUAGGUUGGUUGUAUUGUUGUUUUUUUAUUUGUUAAACAAUUUUCUAUGUGGCUAUUGCUGUGUUUCUCAGGUCCAUUCUUUGCUUUGAAGGAACUUACAGUCUAGUAGUGUUUAUUUUGAGCUUAUGUGCUUUAUAUACACUGAGAAGCCAGAGUAUUAUGACCACUCCAUCAGUAUUUCAUUGGGCCACCUUUUGCCUUCAAUACUGCGGCGAUUCUUCUUGGCAUUGACUCCACGAGAUGUUGAAAGGUGAUGCGAGGAAUCUGACACCAUGCCUGAUGAAUGGCACUGUCCAGUUCUGUGAGAUUUGAUGGCUGUGGAACCAGCUGCCUGAUGGCUCUUUUAACUUCGUCCCACAAAUGCUCAAUUGGAUUGAGAUCUGGUGAUUGU